Molecule: long non-coding RNA, 2075 nt
Filed under: Monodelphis domestica (gray short-tailed opossum)
Lineage: Eukaryota; Metazoa; Chordata; Mammalia; Didelphimorphia; Didelphidae
Description: lncRNA (ENSMODG00000050503.1)
Source: RNAcentral
UAGGAAGACCCCAAUUCGAAGGAUCUUUCCCCUCCCAGGGUGGGCGUUUGACCACCUUGCCCCCUGAAUACAGCACAGGCUGAGCAGGGCAAUUCCUGCUGUGUCACCUCUCCUCUGUGCCUCAGUCUCACCCUUCUAACUUACCCCAAGGGAUGCAGUUGGAGCACGUGCCAAGCUGUCUGGGACUUAAGAGAUCAGUUCUAGGAGGACGUUGGAGGCACACACCUAAUGGUCCUGAGCUUGUCACCAUCACCUAAUUGGCCACCAUCCAUUGAAGCCUCAGUUUCCUCAUCUGAAAAGUCUGUAGUUUCAAGCUCAAAUGAAGACAUCCUGGCCCUCUUGCUGUUUCUCACACACAACAUUCCAUAUUCUUCCCUCUGUGACUUGGCAUGGCGCUAAGUCCACGUCUGGAAUGUGCCUUCUUCCCACCUCCAACUCUCCAAACGAGAAUCGACUUUCCUCCAGAACGUUAGAGGAAAUGGAGAUGCCCAGUUAUACCCAGGCACAGCCCACAGUUCUCCAUUGCCACAAGGACACAGAUGUGCAUGGCUCUUUGGCUUUUUUUAUGGUUUUUACACAAUAGAGGAACAGGAACACAUCAGCCAAGCUGUGAUUAGAUCCUAGUGUGUACUGCCUCUCCCAAGAGCGGGGAGUUUGAUAGAAAACAUUCCAAGGACACAAAACUCAAAGGUUAUACUGAGAGUCACCACAUGAAGUCACAUUGCUCAUCUCUGUUGUUGCUCAGUCAUGUCUGACUCUUUGCAACCCCAUUUGAGUUUUUUUUUUGGCAAAAAUAUUGGGGAAACUGAGGCUGAGAGAAUUCCAGUGACUUUCUCAGGAUCACAGAGCUAGGUAGCAUUCAAACCCAGAUGUUCUUAAUUCCAAGUGCAGCACUCUGUCAACUGUGCCACCUAACUAGGAAGAUGUGAGAUGAGGACGAGAAGGCAGGAUUUGUUCCUCCCUCAAACAACAAGGGCUUUGAGUGAGAAAAAGAAUGGGGCAGGAGACCCCUGAUACAUGGACACUGAUCAGCAAGUAUAAGUGCCAUUUGCUGUUUCCUUCUACUCCAAGCCUCUGCAGGAGACCAGCAGACAGGAGCUGGUCUUCUUGGGAGCCGAUCUCUGGUACAACGGGGGAAACUUCUGGGACUAAAACGGUGAUUGAGCAAUUGAGGAUUGUCAUUCCUAUUCAGGACACUUCAUGGGCGCCAGGAGAUCCCUUAUUCGGUCUAAGCCCAAGUCACUUUGGGACUUCCCUUAAGGGAAGCCAAGAGAAGUGACUUGGCCAAAGUCAUGCAGGCCAUUGUCUCUGUCCAUCCUCCUUUUGAAAAGCAGACCAGAGAUAUCGCAUCACAGCUGAUGUCCUGAAUUGUGAAUGAAUUGGAUUUCAGUGAGUAGCAGGUCUGGUGCAAGCCUUCAGUCAGUGCUCUUUCCACUGGGCAGCACCAUCUCUCUUAUCACAUCCUCUUAGAGUAGCAAGAAAGGAAUCGCCUUUCAGAUCUCUGCCUAAGGGAAGAGUUCAUGACCAAACUGGCAAGAGAGAGGGUCAUAAAAGAGAAAAUGGACAAUUUUGAUGACAUAAAACUGAAAAGGUUUUUGCCCAAAUCACAUCACGUCUUCCCUGAGUCGGCUGGGGCUCGGACCCUCGGCCUCCUGGAGGAGCCCAGACUGUCUGGAGCCAGCCUGGGCUAGUUUCCCAUGCCUCUUUUCCAUCUACUAUGGGGGGGGGGAGUCAAGGGAACAGCCUGGAAGGGACACCUGGAGUCCCCACCCCCCCAGAGCCUGGCCAGCGUGUUGGCCCAGGCAUUUAGCUUCCCGAGCAUGUUCGGAAAGGAAAGACAGCCUGGAAAAAUGGCAGGCUUCACAAGGCUGCUCACAUGGCCUUCUUCUAAGCAAUGACGAGCCCAAGGUCCCCGGGAGAGGAGCAAGUGAUGGAUGGAGGGAGGGGCACAGCAGGCCAGCCAGCGCCUGAUUCAAGGUCCAAGAUGUCACGAGGCUGAGAGCGAGUAGGCAGGGCCAACCUGGAAAGGAGAGUUGAGCCCUGGGAGGGCCCCCUUGAGAUCCAGGGAGGGGGGG